GGGCUCGAUCCCGGGACCCCGAGAUCAUGACCUGAGUUGAAGGCAUACACUUAGCCAACUGAGCCACCCAGGUGCCCUGCUCUGUAAAGUAUUUUAAAGACAGAGGUUAAAUACUGGUUGUUUCAAGUUUAGGUAACUAAUAAGAAAAAGUAAGGAAUUAAAUGACUGCGUGUGUCGGGGUGUUAAAAGCCUUCUUGAUUUAAUAAUGGAGGAAAUCCUGGAGUGAAGACUGAGGGAUGAAAUGUAAAAGAUAGUUCAGACCGAAAAGCUAAUUCGGGAAGCUAGCCAGCAAUUGACUCACAGCAGGACCUAGCUUCUAAAUCCUGAAAUAAAGGAGUUUUGGAUUAUGGGGACGGCUGUGUUUUCUAAUAGUCUGGAUGCAGUGUACUAUUGGGUAUUAGUAUCACUGCUAAUAUUACAAGGAUUAAAAGGGUCAAAACAAGACUUUGAUGUACCAAACUUCAGAAACUUUUAUUUAAGUGUGUGUAAAAAAGCCUUCCCGGAGUCACAGAUUUAAAAGUGUGACUACAGAGAUUCAGUGGGCCUACCAUGUCUUUGUACAUGAAAGCAGCUUUUUUUUUUUUUUUUCGAGAUUUCAGGAAUGCAAAUGAGAACUAACAUCAGGUACUUUACUUUUCAAGUAAAAAAUCUAAAGUGUUAAAGAAUUAGAUUUCUCCGGUUUUCUAGGGCCUGUUGCUAUCUAGGAACAGAGAACAGUGAUCCAAAACAUUGAAAAGCGACACAUUAUUUCUGGUUGUUUUAAACAGAAUUGGGAAAGGGAGAGUGCCAUAGGAUCCUUGAAAAGUGAAACUGGGAGACUUUCAUAAAGGGUCAAAAGACUUCACAAUAGAGUACAAUGGCAGUGUCCAAAUAAGUAGAAUGGAAGGCUCUGCAGAAGCUUGGAGCGGGGUGGGUGGUGAUGGGAGAAUUGCAUUUUUAAAACCAUUGGCACACAGCCACUGGAGUCUAAAUAUAAAUCAGACCAGACCACGUCACUCCAUAGCAUAAAGCCCGCCAGUGUCUUCCCAUUGCAUUUCAAAUGAAAUCCAAUCUCUGCAACGUGGCCUGCAGGUCCUGUGCAAUCUGGACCCAGCUAGCUUCUCCAGCCUACGGCACAUAGCUCCCUGUCCUGCUCACUGGGCCCCA
Molecule: long non-coding RNA, 1146 nt
Filed under: Canis lupus familiaris (dog)
Lineage: Eukaryota; Metazoa; Chordata; Mammalia; Carnivora; Canidae
Description: lncRNA (ENSCAFG00845027832.1)
Source: RNAcentral